UACGGAGGUUGCAAGCGUUGAUCGGAUUCAUUGGGCGUAAAGGGCGCGGAGGCGGAAAUGUAAGUCGAACGUGAAAGACCGAAGCUUAACUUCGGAACUGCGUACCAAACUGUAUUUCUUGAGGGUAGGUUGGGAAAGCGGAAUUCCACGUGUAGCGGUGAAAUGCGUAGAUAUGUGGGGGAACACCGGUGGCGAAGGCUGCUUUCUAACUUAUUGCCUGACGCUGAGGCGCGAAAGCGAGGGGAGCAAACAGG
RNAcentral lists this ribosomal RNA (254 nucleotides) under uncultured bacterium. RNAcentral's name for it is "partial 16S ribosomal RNA". It matches the Rfam family "Bacterial small subunit ribosomal RNA", at positions 524 to 776 of the family's 1533-position model. The record is from RNAcentral.